Molecule: ribosomal RNA, 700 nt
Filed under: uncultured Alphaproteobacteria bacterium
Lineage: Bacteria; Pseudomonadati; Pseudomonadota; Alphaproteobacteria
Description: bacterial SSU rRNA
Rfam family: Bacterial small subunit ribosomal RNA
Source: RNAcentral
GGGGAGACGAACGCGGCGGCAGGCCUCACAAUUGCAAGCUCGAACGAGAAGUCACCUUCGGGUGGAUGGACAGUGGCAGACGGGUGAGUAACGCGUGGGAAUUUACCCAAUGGUACGGAAUAACUCAGGGAAACUUGUGCUAAUACCGUAUAAGCCCUCCGGGGGAAAGAUAUCGCCAUUGGAUGAGCCCGCGUUAGAUUAGCUUGUUGGUGAGGUAAAAGCUCACCAAGGCGACGAUCUAUAGCUGGUCUGAGAGGAUGAUCAGCCACACUGGGGCUGAGACACGGCCCAGACUCCUACGGGAGGCAGCAGUGGGGAAUAUUGCACAAUGGGCGCAAGCCUGAUGCAGCCAUGCCGCGUGAGUGAUGAAGGCCCUAGGGUUGUAAAGCUCUUUCAUCGGUGAAGAUAAUGACGGUAGCCGAAGAAGAAGCCCCGGCUAACUCCGUGCCAGCAGCCGCGGUAAUACGGAGGGGGCUAGCGUUGUUCGGAAUUACUGGGCGUAAAGCGCGCGUAGGCGGAUUGAUCAGUUGGGGGUGAAAGCCCGAGGCUCAAACUCGGAACUGGCCUCAAUACUGUCAGUCUAAAGUCCGAGAAAGGUGAGUGGAAUUCCUAGUGUAGAGGUGAAAUUCGUCGAUAUUAGGAAGAACACAAGUGGCGAAGGCGGUCCAUUGCUACGUACUGACGCUAAAGUGCAAACCGC